This is a non-coding RNA of Firmicutes bacterium CAG:308, 148 nucleotides long. The record is from Rfam. NCBI's taxonomy places the organism in Bacteria, Bacillati, Bacillota.
UUGAAGAGAAUAGCGCCAGGACUGCUUGCAGUUGACGAGGACCAGAUUUAUCGAAAGAUUCGGCGGGUGAUCUGGAGGUUUGAUACGACCUUAAAAGUAUGACAAAAACAAUCUGUGAAGAUUGAACAAAUUCAUAUAGGUAUCCUCC